UACGUAGGGGGCGAGCGUUGUCCGGAAUCAUUGGGCGUAAAGCGCGUGUAGGCGGCCCGGUAAGUCCGCUGUGAAAGUCCAGGGCUCAACCCCGGAACGGCAUCCGAGACGGCCAGGCUGGAGACCGGGAGAGGAGAGUGGAAUAGCCAGUGUAGAGGUGAAAUUCGUAGAUAUUGGCUGGAACACCGGUGGCGAAAGCGGCUCUCUGGCCCGGUUCUGACGCUGAGGCGCGAAAGCGUGGGGAGCAAACAGG
RNAcentral lists this ribosomal RNA (253 nucleotides) under uncultured bacterium. Its description in RNAcentral is "partial 16S ribosomal RNA". It matches the Rfam family "Bacterial small subunit ribosomal RNA", at positions 524 to 776 of the family's 1533-position model. The record is from RNAcentral.